This 2010-nucleotide ribosomal RNA is filed under the name Triticum aestivum (bread wheat). RNAcentral's name for it is "partial small subunit ribosomal RNA". Lineage: Eukaryota; Viridiplantae; Streptophyta; Magnoliopsida; Poales; Poaceae. The record is from RNAcentral.
AUGACGAACAACAAGAACGAUGACAUCCUCGGAAAUUUCCUGACCAAUACGUUCUUGACUGACUUGUUCUCGCUGGAACUGUCGCUGAAGGUGAUGACUAUCGUCGAACCUCCAGAUCAGUCCGGAGCUGGGAUCGCGUCAGGUCUGUACUAUAGUGCCAAGGAAAACUUCGAUUGUUGUUCUUCCGUAGAAUCACCUGAGGGCCCAGAUGACAUCUUGAAGAUAUUGGCAGAUAUACUUGAGAAUAUGCAGCCCAAGGGGGAUACUAUUGCACCACUGGAUCAAAUCGUGCAAGCCCAGAAAAAAGUUCAGCAAGCCCUAAAGAAAAAGAGGUACAUUGUCCUAAUCACAGGCUUAGGAGAGGCAGCCACAUGGGAUAAUAUUGAGAAGGCCUUCCCGGAUGGAGGCAAUGGCCGAGUGAUUAUUACCACUUAUCGAUGGGACGUGGCCCUAAAGUGCUCCUCUGGUCAAUCUGACUUGAUCUAUAGGUCGGGGUCUUGGUCUUGUACCAAGGCACCAGAUGUGGUGGUUGAUGAUAAGGCACAGAUGGAAAUUACAGCGUAUGUGGAGGAGCUGCUCCGGAGCUCCGACGACAACCUGACGGCUUGUGUGUUUUCCCUCUCAACAGUACAAGAUGCUAAUGAGUUUGUGUUUGAGAGGGAGAGCAUGGUUAGGAAAUGGAAUGCUGAAGGGUUUACCUCUGCGGAUGAGCACUUGUUUGAUGAGCUCUUUAACAAGCGCUGGAUUAUUCAGCAAGGAAGCAGCAGACACGGGCCAACAUACAAGCUGGACACUAAGUUCCUGUCCGGCCUCAGGAAGGAGCAAAGAACAUUGAUGACGGGAAAAUCCUUUGAGCUUCGUCCUGGCUGGAACAGUGGCUCCAGCUCCCUCAGCGGAAUUGCCCUCGUAGAUAUCUUGGUGUGCCAACUAAAUGAUAAGGAUCUUGAUAAGCUUGGCCAAAUGAAGUACCUCCGGAACCUUGUGCUAGAGAUUGCCGGCAUCCCAACGAAAGUGAUGGUCAUCACCAAAGGUAGCUUCCCGCAGCUCCAGGUAUUUGAGCUCAACUGCCAUGUGCCGUGGGUCACCUUCGAAGAUGGAGCUAUGCCGGAGCUGAGGUGCCUCCGCUUCAAGCUAUACGCCGGCCCAAAAGGUAAGACCCCUUCGGGGACCAAUCACCUCAAGAAACUGGACGAGCUUAGCCUCAACUACGGCACAGCAUACAAUGGAAGCCCCUGCGUCUUGGAGACAACUAGCACCAUGGAGGAAGAAGCUGAAAAGCGUGCCAAGCCGACGACCCUCAUCACCAACAACACGGCAAAAUUACCAAAGCUCCGUGUGACGAAUUAUGACAACAUGAAGGAACUGGUACUGUGGGCACUUAAAAUCACGCUUUUUUUGUUCCACUGCGUCCUUUUUUUGUUCCACUGCGUCCUCACCCCGCUUUUCCCAUUGGCCCACCACUUCCGGGGAGCGCUAGCAAAGAUGACAACGGGGAAACUCCUUUUCGUGAUCCCACUUCUUGCCCUCAUAUGUUACCAUAACAUCAUUCUGACGGCAUGUAGCUGGCUGGCCAGGAGGGUCUUGCCCAUCCUUAUGCUUUUUGCCAUCAAUCGUAAACUAGCGGGCGAUAAAUCACCAUGGGCAAACAUCAUCGUCCCAGUCCUCGCCUACAAAAUGGUAGGCCUCGUCGUCGCCAUUUACCCUUCCUUGUCCAAAGCAAUCCUUGUAUCCUACACCACACUGGUUUGGUCGGUGUGUGCACUCCUGCGCAUUCUCUUGCUCUACAUUCUGACCCCACUUUGGUACACAAUCUCCACCCUUUUAAUUUAUGCUAUCCCAGUUAUCUGUGCUCUCGUCUUGUCCAUUUAUCUGGUUUGCAAGACCAAAAAGGUGCCCCUUGGCAUCCUCCCCGUUCUUGCCCUCCCGUUUUACUUCUUCCCAUCUCAAUCUUACUCUGCCGUAUUGUGGUCAUCAUAUGGGGUCACUGAGUGGCUCAUAUGGGGUAUAUAG